This 417-nucleotide ribosomal RNA is filed under the name uncultured bacterium. RNAcentral's name for it is "bacterial SSU rRNA". It matches the Rfam family "Bacterial small subunit ribosomal RNA", at positions 29 to 489 of the family's 1533-position model. The record is from RNAcentral.
AGCGAACGCUGGCGGCAGGCUUAACACAUGCAAGUCGAACGGGCGUAGCAAUACGUCAGUGGCAGACGGGUGAGUAACGCGUGGGAACGUACCUUUUGGUUCGGAACAACCCAGGGAAACUUGGGCUAAUACCGGAUAAGCCCCUUACGGGGAAAGAUUUAUCGCCGAAAGAUCGGCCCGCGUCUGAUUAGCUAGUUGGUGUGGUAACGGCGCACCAAGGCGACGAUCAGUAGCUGGUCUGAGAGGAUGAUCAGCCACAUUGGGACUGAGACACGGCCCAAACUCCUACGGGAGGCAGCAGUGGGGAAUAUUGGACAAUGGGCGCAAGCCUGAUCCAGCCAUGCCGCGUGAGUGAUGAAGGCCCUAGGGUUGUAAAGCUCUUUUGUGCGGGAAGAUAAUGACGGUACCGACAAGAAU